Molecule: ribosomal RNA, 497 nt
Filed under: uncultured bacterium
Lineage: Bacteria
Description: partial 16S ribosomal RNA
Rfam family: Bacterial small subunit ribosomal RNA
Source: RNAcentral
GAUGAACGCUGGCGGCGUGCCUAAUACAUGCAAGUCGAGCGAACGGACGCGAAGCUUGCUUCUCUGAUGUUAGCGGCGGACGUGUGAGUAACACGUGGAUAACCUACCUAUAAGACUGGGAUAACUUCGGGAAACCGGAGCUAACACGGUAUGAUAUCUUGAACCGCAUGGUUGAAUAGUGAGAGACGGUGUUGCUGGCACUUCUAGAUGGAUCCUCGCUGCAUUAGCUAGUUGGUAAGGUAACGGCUUACCAAGGCAACGAUGCAUAGCCGACCGGUGAGGGGGAUCGGCCACCCGGGAGCUUGGACACGGUCCUGGCUCCUACGAGAGGCAGCAGUAUGGAAUCUUCGGCAGAAGGCGAAAGCAUGACAGAGCGACGCCGCGUGAGAGAUGGAGGUCUUCGGAUCGUAAAGCUCUGUUAUUGGUGAAGAACAGAUGUGGAAGUAGCUGUACACAUCGUGACGGUACCUAGUCAGAAAGCCACGGCUAACUACGUG